UACGGAGGGGGCAAGCGUUACUCGGAAUUAUUGGGCGUAAAGGGCGCGUAGGCGGCCGUGCACGUCGGAGGUGAAAUCCCCGGGCUCAACCCGGGACGUGCCUCCGAUACGGCAUGGCUUGAGUGCAGGAGAGGGAAGCGGAAUUCCCAGUGUAGCGGUGAAAUGCGUAGAUAUUGGGAGGAACACCGGUGGCGAAGGCGGCUUCCUGGACUGUUACUGACGCUGAGGCGCGAAAGCGCGGGGAGCAAACAGG
This 253-nucleotide ribosomal RNA is filed under the name uncultured bacterium. Its description in RNAcentral is "partial 16S ribosomal RNA". It matches the Rfam family "Bacterial small subunit ribosomal RNA", at positions 524 to 776 of the family's 1533-position model. The record is from RNAcentral.